This is a long non-coding RNA of Acipenser ruthenus (sterlet), 2080 nucleotides long. RefSeq lists it as uncharacterized. Lineage: Eukaryota; Metazoa; Chordata; Actinopteri; Acipenseriformes; Acipenseridae. The transcript has 3 exons. The record is from RefSeq and is a predicted model, not a curated record.
UUAGCCUCUUGUCUUUUUUCGCUAUUAACCACUGCAAAGCCAUUGUAUGUGCUGCAGGCACACAUUAAUGUUGUUUACACUGCAUUUCAGACUCCGGGUUAACACAAAUCAGAGAAGUGUGCUGUGUGGCUAACCUAUUUAAAGGAUUACCACUAUGGGUCAAAGGUUCACUGCACAGGAGCUGUAUGAGUGCUUGUCGCAGCAGGAGUACAGCUGAGCGUGGGCUGGAGUCAGUUGGCAGAGUUGAACUUUUAUCUGGAGCAGUGCAACACAGCUGUCUGCAUGGAGGCCAGGGUCAGGGGCUGGAUGUGACCCCACCAAGCUGCAACGACAAGGCUGUACCUUUCCACUCUCUUGGAACCCACUUUCCUGAUUUUGAUCUUCAUGUACACACAUUCCCGAUGGUUCUUGACAAUGGGAAAUAACAGCACAUAACAAUAGUGUCUCAGUUUAAAAAAAAAAAAAAGAUGUUUUCUUUUUAUUGAUUUUAUAAUUUUAGAAAAUCUCAGUGUUUUAGUGAUUCUGAAAAAAGCAGAAAAGACUGCACCUAAAGUACUCUAGAAGACUACCAUCCUACAAGUGACUCCAAAUACAGUAUGAAAACCUCUGUCAUGAGAAAAUAUCUACAAGCAAUUAAUGUGCCUCGCCUUAAAAGAAAAUCUGCAGAUCUCAUUAAAUAUGAAAUAGAAAAAACACAAUCUAAAUACUGAAAUUACAUUUUAUUUCAGUUGAAUGGGAAUUAGUAAACAAUAAAUAUAAUUUUUGUUAGAGAGCACUACAGAAUGCCAGGUGGAGGUAGGUUUGUUUAUAUGCGGUUCCACAAACUCAUAGAAAUUUGUCAGCUUUACUGGAGGGGGGAGGGUUCAGCAUAAACACAAUGCAAAUCCUCAGAGUGAAGGACGUAUAUUUUCACCAGGGAUAUCUACUUUUAUGUAUGUGUUGGCUACACAACUUCAAAAGCAUUCCAUUUUUUUUACACACUCUAGACUAUAAAGUUGCAUAUGCAGAACCUCCUUUCAGGUGUCACUUAACUUUCCAUAGGGCUUGAAAACAUAUUAAAAGUCUCAGGUUUAUUUGUUUCUAACAUGUUGUUAAUGUUUGUUUUGGUUUAUUAUAUACUAUAUACUCUGCACAAACAAGAGAAAGCAAAGGGAUAAGUGAUCAGUCUUUAUAUCGCUACCGAUUUUUCAAGAAACCGUUGUUAUAUUUGGUCCUGCCCAAGGACAAUAUUGAUCCACUUCAUUAACCUGUGUUCCACCCUGCUGGGUGUUAUUUUACCAAGAAGGCUUCUGCAUCAGAGGAAGUGAUAUAAAUUUACACAAGAGGGAAGAAGGAAUGUUAUCAUUUGACACAUCUCCAUUUAACAUCCAUGAAAGAUUUCAACCCCUUUUUAAGCAUUUACAGUAUUUUUCAUCAUCUGUGCGCAAUUAAAAUGCAGUUCUGAACAGGAAGAUGUCGCCCUGUUUCUUGAUCAGAUUUAAAAGUGUAAGUGAAUAGAAUAGUUUUAUCAUCUGGUGAGAUAUAACCUUUGCAUAUAUAUAUUUAUUAAUGCAUUAUUGCAAACAACCUAUGGGCAUUUUCAUCAGAAAACUCAUCACUAAAACCAUGUUUUGGGCCUUUUAAAUCUAAAUUCUGUCUGUUUAGAUAUUUAAAAUAGGGACUUCUGUGUAGGGUUGUGCAAGGCAACGUCUAAAACAGUUUUGAAACUAAAACCUUUUUAGUUUACUUGUGUCUUCAAAAAGUAUGUACAACCCUAGAGAGCACCCAUUUUUUAAUUAUUUAAUAGAUGCAGUAUUUAGAUCAAGUGUGUCAAGUGAACUCUAAACCCAGGAUCAACAGAUCCUUCCUUGUAGUGUUAAUUUAAAGAAUGCUUUAAAAAAAAUGUUCAGAAUUUCUGAUUAGAUAUCCAUAACACAAAAAGAAGCAUGUGUAGCAGUUGUAGUAAAUUCUAGAGAAUGAAAACUACAGUUAAUUUAUUCAAAGUAUGUCAGUUUACCUUAUUGUUUGGAGCAAUAUGUUUUUAAUAAAUAUUCACACUUGUAUAAGCCAUACAAUGUAUCUGUUUACCCUAUGAAACAGU